GCGAGCUCUGACAAAGAUAACGGUCAUUCUUCAUUGAGAUCAGAAAUGAAGGUUGGUUCCUAACCGAGACUGACGGUAGCAACACUGCAGGACCCCGAUUCUUAGUUGGUAUUGGAUGAAGAGCUCAUAAUAAGAUCUCUGGGCCUAUGAGUAGCGAGUUGCAAAAAUUUAGACCUUACCGAACGAUCAAUCACCAUGUCUGUAUUUUCUUUUCGUCGAGUU
Molecule: unclassified non-coding RNA, 222 nt
Filed under: Hevea brasiliensis (rubber tree)
Lineage: Eukaryota; Viridiplantae; Streptophyta; Magnoliopsida; Malpighiales; Euphorbiaceae
Source: RNAcentral